Molecule: long non-coding RNA, 1748 nt
Organism: Triticum dicoccoides
Lineage: Eukaryota; Viridiplantae; Streptophyta; Magnoliopsida; Poales; Poaceae
Exons: 2
Source: RefSeq, a predicted model, not a curated record
CCCAAUCUCAUCCCGCCUCCAACUCCUCCGCCUCACAGGCCACGUGCUCAGCACAGGCCGUCGUCCUCGGCGCAAAAGGGGCGCAGUUUGGAGAGACCUAAUCCACAACGCCAUUGACGCUGUCCUCUCCUCGCAUGGCCUACCAAGGUCCGUCUCCUCCAAUUCCUUCAUCUGGAUUCCAUCUCGGAUUUGUCGAAUCCUAUCAUCCCGGAUUCCAUCUCAACCCCUCCCCUCCUCUCGAAGACGGCCAUGGCCGUGCUACGUCUUCCCCACCUUCCUACGUCUUCCGGAUCAGCCUUCGAUCCCUCGAUUUCGUGUGUACUGUGAGCCGCCGCCGAUGUUUAGAACGCAAAUUGAGGGCGAGCUGGGAGGUGACGGAGGUGCGUUGCCGCCGGCUACAUCUUGGCGUCGUCCCUGGUUAGUUCACCUCCGAUGGAUCAUGGGACAUACUUCUAUCUGGCCCUGGCUCUCCCUUCAAGCAUAUCCGUGCGAAGCCGCCGCUUUCAAGUUGCCUGAUGGACGGCAUGGGGGCGUAUGGCGGCUGCAGACGUCGAUCCUCCCUCAUCUUCCCGGAUUCGCCGAAUGUACGAGGGCCGAUACAACCACCCCUAGCCUUGCUUCCACAGGACCGGCCCCUAACAAGCAGCAUAUAUCUUCUCCAUGAUUACUAUUUCCCUUUUUCUUUUUUUCUUUUCAGUGAGAACGAACACAUGCACAUAUGAUUUAGUGAGUGGCGUUCAUUUACUUGCUUGAUCCAUAGGAACUGGAGUUCAAGAAGCAACACUACUGAUCUUGAUUUCUGCUGUAACCAUUGCAACGAGGUGAAUUGCAUUUUUGUGUAUAUGUUCAUGUACUGUACUAUUUAGGUUCAGAAUCAUUUUUAACAGUUUUGUUAAUGUUCUUCCUCACGGGCCUUCCUGUUAUAGUGUUACUUUUUAUGAGAACAAUACAACUUUUGAACUCAGUCUAUAAUGAUUAACCUCUGCUUACUGUAAGUUUGAGCUCUACUCUGGAAUUGCUUUGAUCGACUACCAAUUACUAUGCACCUCUGACAUGUAUUGGCAAAUGCAGCCGUGAUGGUGGGCCGUCCCAAGAAAACAUUUAUGGAUGAAUGGAUGAUUGCUUUCAUACUUCACAACUGUUGAAUUCUUCUCUUCUUUGGGUUUACCCAAAAGGGUUACUCGGUUAGUUUAUACGAGUCAUCCUCAUUAAAGCUCUACUUUACUCACUGGGAAGUGGUGAAUCGCCGUUCCUUGACAUUGUGGCAUAUGCUGGGAUGGGUUUGCCGGUACCUCACUUGCGAUGCUUGUCCUCAUCUUCUGGAGCUACUCAUACUAUUUUGUGCUGCCGUGGUUCUGUAUCUUCUACAGGGUGCAUCGAGGACUUAUGAGAGACAUCCUAGUAGGAACCACUACUUUCUUCUAUUCCUCACGGCUACGCAAUUCCCCAUGCUUUUUUGGCUAGGCAACAUCAAGGGCUGAUGUUUCAGUCUUAUCUCAGAACAGGGACACCUUUCCUUCUUUUCUUCAAAGUUCAAAGCUAAAACUCGAUCAGAAUAAAGUUUGAGGUUUAGUCUUACCGUAGAACUUUGGUAGUAGCCUUGUCUAUAGUUCAGGCUCUUGUUGGAGUGGUAAAUUUCUUGAUAUAGGGCCUGAAAAAUUGCAGUUGAGGUUAUCUUUUUGGCAUGGAAAGGAUGUUUCCAUGAUUUAUGACUAGCUGAAGACAAAUGAAUACAUGGAUUUUGAAUA